This 1464-nucleotide long non-coding RNA is filed under the name Ovis aries (sheep). RNAcentral describes it as "lncRNA (ENSOARG00000025446.1)". The record is from RNAcentral. Lineage: Eukaryota; Metazoa; Chordata; Mammalia; Artiodactyla; Bovidae.
AUGACAACCUGCGGGCACUUGACAUUGGCUUCCUUGGCAGGGACCAGAUCAGCCUCAUCAGAGUUCUUCCAUUUCAUUAGGAACAUGAGUUCUCCACUGGAGUCCGUAGCUCCAAUAAUCCGCUCUGGUUCCAAACCCCGGGCAAAGCCUCGUGGCUUUUCUGACUCUUCUUUCUUCUUCUUUGGUUUGCUCUCCUCCCCCUUAUCUUCCGAAUCAGAAUCAGCUUUGCGCUUGCCUCCCUCUGAUUUAUCUGUCUCGUGUGCUGUUUUCUGUGACUGCAGAAACUCAGCAAUGAGAUCAGGGCAAUCCAGGAAAUGGGAAGAAGAAUCAGGACUUGGGAUGAAAUUGUGUAUAAAGAGGCACUAGGGUGAGGACUGGGCUUCCCUGGUGGCUCAGGGGUAAAGAAUCUACGCACAACGUAGGAGACAUGGGUUUGAUCCCUGGGUGGGGAAGAUCCCCUGGAGAAGGAAAUGGCAACCUACUCUAGUAUUCUUGCCCGGAGAACCCAUGGACAGAGGAACCUGGAGGGCUACAGUCUUUGGGGGCACAAAAGAGCUGGACACGACUUAAGUGACUAUCAUUAAACUACAACAAUCAACAAAAGGAAGUCAGUGAGCAAGAGGCAGCCAGGACUGGAUUUGGGGAUGGGGACUCCUGGAGAAAUGAUACAAAAGGGACAAGUGAGGCCCAGACUGAUGCUGGUUGCUGUGAGGGAGUUUUCUUCUAAGGACUGUAUGUGAACCUGAGGCCUAGGAGACGAAUGCAGAAUUUUGUUCAUUUUUUUCUGAUUUUUUAAAUGCUCAGAAAUGUUAAACAAGAGAGUUCUGAUUUCAGCUAGGAAACUGGAACUAGUUUCAGAAUCCCGAUAGACAUAUGAACCAGUACCAAAAGGGCACUGAAAAAUGAAUCAUUGUUUGCCUUUUGCUUACUCUGCAUGCUCCUGUCCUGAGAGUCUCUCAUACAAUAGGAGGUUGGUUUGUGAUGGGUUGAGUAGGUAGCUGGGGAGCAGGUUCUGAUUCUAAAAGCAAAACUUCUGAAAGAGUUCACUGCCCUGGACUACAGCACUGGAAAGUCACUGAAGUGCUGACAAACCAGUAGGGACACAUUUUGUUACCACCUUUAUUAAUUCAUUUAUUACCUUAUAUAUAGUAUCUAUGGAGCUUCCCAGGUGGCUUAGUGGUAAAGAAUCCGCCUGCAAUGCAGGAGACAUGGGCUCAAUCCCUGGGUUGGAAAGAUCCCCUUGAGCAAAAAUGGCAACCCACUCCAGUAUUCUUGCCUGGAAAAUGGACAGAGGAGCCUAGUGGGCUAUAGUCCAUGAGGUCACAAAGAGUUGGACAUGACUGGGCACACAUGCAUGGCUAGAUGGGUGGAUAUAGCACCUAUGUCUCACUGAUACCACUCAUAUACUAUCAUGUAUCUAUCUAUAUAUUUAAAAAUUGUAUAUAUAUAUAUAUAUAUGUAUUU